UACAGAGGGUGCGAGCGUUAAUCGGAAUUACUGGGCGUAAAGCGCACGUAGGUGGCGACGUAAGUCGGGUGUGAAAGCCCCGGGCUCAACCUGGGAAUUGCAUUCGAGACUGCAUUGCUGGAGUACGGAAGAGGAGGGCAGAAUUCCCGGUGUAGCGGUGAAAUGCGUAGAUAUCGGGAGGAACAUCAGUGGCGAAGGCGGCCCUCUGGUCCAGUACUGACACUCAAGUGCGAAAGCGUGGGGAGCAAACAGG
This 253-nucleotide ribosomal RNA is filed under the name uncultured bacterium. RNAcentral describes it as "partial 16S ribosomal RNA". It matches the Rfam family "Bacterial small subunit ribosomal RNA", at positions 524 to 776 of the family's 1533-position model. The record is from RNAcentral.